UACGGGGGGGGCAAGCGUUGUUCGGAAUUACUGGGCGUAAAGGGCGCGUAGGCGGCCUGCUAAGUCGAACGUGAAAUCCCUGGGCUCAACCCAGGAACUGCGUCCGAUACUGGUUGGCUUGAAUCCGGGAGAGGGAUGCGGAAUUCCAGGUGUAGCGGUGAAAUGCGUAGAUAUCAAGAGGAACACCUGCGGCGAAGGCGGGUUGCUGGGCCGACACUGACGCUGAGGCGCGAAAGCUAGGGGAGCGAACGGG
RNAcentral lists this ribosomal RNA (253 nucleotides) under uncultured bacterium. RNAcentral describes it as "partial 16S ribosomal RNA". It matches the Rfam family "Bacterial small subunit ribosomal RNA", at positions 524 to 776 of the family's 1533-position model. The record is from RNAcentral.